Molecule: ribosomal RNA, 429 nt
Filed under: Chloroflexota bacterium
Lineage: Bacteria; Bacillati; Chloroflexota
Description: Chloroflexi bacterium partial 16S ribosomal RNA
Rfam family: Bacterial small subunit ribosomal RNA
Source: RNAcentral
UGGGGAAUAUUGCACAAUGGGCGCAAGCCUGAUGCAGCCAUGCCGCGUGUAUGAAGAAGGCCUUCGGGUUGUAAAGUACUUUCAGUCGGGAGGAAGGUGGUAAGGUUAAUAACCUUAUCAAUUGACGUUACCGACAGAAGAAGCACCGGCUAACUCCGUGCCAGCAGCCGCGGUAAUACGGAGGGUGCAAGCGUUAAUCGGAAUUACUGGGCGUAAAGCGCACGCAGGCGGUUGAUUGAGUCAGAUGUGAAAUCCCCGGGCUUAACCCGGGAAUUGCAUCUGAUACUGGUCAGCUAGAGGCUUGUAGAGGGGGAUAGAAUUCCAUGUGUAGCGGUGAAAUGCGUAGAGAUGUGGAGGAAUACCGGUGGCGAAGGCGGCCCCCUGGACAAAGACUGACGCUCAGGUGCGAAAGCGUGGGGAGCAAACAGG